This is a long non-coding RNA of Suricata suricatta (meerkat), 685 nucleotides long. RefSeq lists it as uncharacterized. The transcript has 3 exons. NCBI's taxonomy places the organism in Eukaryota, Metazoa, Chordata, Mammalia, Carnivora, Herpestidae. The record is from RefSeq and is a predicted model, not a curated record.
UCCCGCGUGGAUGCCGGUGGUGACGGCGGUUCCUGGCGACAGCCGGGGGCUUGCGGAGCGUGAAGCCGAGCGGCGCUAGGACCGCGGCAGAGGCGGCGCGGCAGCAGCGCCGCCAGAUCCAGUUCCAGGUGCCGAACCGAACGCGGAGCCAGGAGCCCCGCCCCCACAUGUACAUGGACAGCUCUGAUUGGUCGGUGCGGAACUCUGACGCGACUUCUGAGUCCAAGGAUGUGGCCUAACCAGGCGCCGCGGAGGAGAGCGCGCUCCUGCGAACUAAGCUGGCUGGGGACCGAGGGCGCCCCCUAGUCGUGUGGAGAACGAGGAGCGGACGCCACUAUCCCUUGCCCGCAGGACGCCACAGAAAGGCGCUUGUCUUCAAGCAAGCGAUCGCCGACUACCAGCAUGACAGACCUGAGUAACCAACGCUCUUUGGUGGACCUUGCCAAUGCAGCGACAUCAUCCCCUACACACGGCGUACUGUUCCAGCCCAUCUGGACCACAAAGUAUUCCCCCAGGCCAAUUCUAUACUUCCCUGAAGCGGUUCUGUGCCAUUUUGUCCCCUUUUAUUCUCUUCCCUUCUCCUCAAUCCCUGUUUCCCAAGUAGGUCUUGCCCAAGCCCCAACCCAUUUCUCAAGUGUCAUCUUACAUGAGCAAGUCCUCUAGUAAAAAUUCGCUCUAUCCCCUA